GAUGAUUGUUAAACGAUGCAAUAGUCAACAAAAUGCAGCACCUGUAGUUAACAAAAGCCAAGAAUAAAACAGUUCCACAGUGCUCGAGAACUUCAAGAUUCAUCUGGACAUCAGGAAAAAUCCUUCCUUAAUCUUUCAAUAUAUAUAAAGAUUUCCGAUUGGUUUACAAUAAAAUAUGAAACCUCAACUGUGUAGGAGCUCAACGAUUAUGGACCAACAACAAUCAACCAUGAACAACCACAGUUCCAAGCUUCAACAAUUUUCGAGAAAUCCACAGAAGAGGAUUUGAAUUCCUGAUCUUUGGUUACCUUAAUGGAAGAGGAUUUGAAUUCGUUACCUUAGGGGAAGGGAGGUAUGGUCACUGUUGCAGAGAGGAGAGGAGAGGAG
Molecule: long non-coding RNA, 387 nt
Filed under: Nicotiana tabacum (common tobacco)
Lineage: Eukaryota; Viridiplantae; Streptophyta; Magnoliopsida; Solanales; Solanaceae
Description: long non-coding RNA (NTAB_LNC002913)
Source: RNAcentral